RNAcentral lists this transfer RNA (85 nucleotides) under Lachnospiraceae bacterium 1_4_56FAA. It matches the Rfam family "tRNA". From Rfam's summary of the family: Transfer RNA (tRNA) molecules are approximately 80 nucleotides in length. Their secondary structure includes four short double-helical elements and three loops (D, anti-codon, and T loops). Lineage: Bacteria; Bacillati; Bacillota; Clostridia; Lachnospirales; Lachnospiraceae. The record is from Rfam by way of RNAcentral.
GCUGUGUUCCCAUAAUGGCAUUGGAGCUGAUUGCUAAUCAGUCGGUCGUUCAUUCGACUUGUAGGUUCGAAUCCUACACACAGCG